AUUGAACGCUGGCGGAAUGCUUUACACAUGCAAGUCGAACGGUAGAGGGGGCAACCCCUCGAGAGUGGCGAACGGGUGAGUAAUAUAUCGGAACGUGCCCAGUCGUGGGGGAUAACGUAGCGAAAGUUACGCUAAUACCGCAUACGAUCUACGGAUGAAAGCGGGGGAUCGCAAGACCUCGCGCGAUUGGAGCGGCCGAUAUCAGAUUAGGUGGUUGGUUGGGUAAAGGCUCACCAAGCCAACGAUCUGUAGCAGGUCUGAGAGGACGACCAGCCACACUGGAACUGAGACACGGUCCAGACUCCUACGGGAGGCAGCAGUGGGGAAUUUUGGACAAUGGACGCAAGUCUGGUCCAGCCAUUCCGCGUGCAGGAUGAAGGCCCUCGGGUUGUAAACUGCUUUUGUACGGAACGAAAAGGUUUCCAUUAAUACUGGGAGCUCAUGACGGUACCGUAAGAAUAAGCACCGGCUAACUACGUGCCAGCCGCCGCCGUAA
Molecule: ribosomal RNA, 496 nt
Filed under: uncultured bacterium
Lineage: Bacteria
Description: partial 16S ribosomal RNA
Rfam family: Bacterial small subunit ribosomal RNA
Source: RNAcentral